UACGUAGGGUGCAAGCGUUAAUCGGAAUUACUGGGCGUAAAGCGUGCGCAGGCGGUUUUGUAAGACAGAGGUGAAAUCCCCGGGCUCAACCUGGGAACUGCCUUUGUGACUGCAAGGCUUGAGUGCGGCAGAGGGGGAUGGAAUUCCGCGUGUAGUAGUGAAAUGCGUAGAUAUGCGGAGGAACACCGAUGGCGAAGGCAAUCCCCUGGGCCUGCACUGACGCUCAUGCACGAAAGCGUGGGGAGCAAACAGG
This 253-nucleotide ribosomal RNA is filed under the name uncultured bacterium. Its description in RNAcentral is "partial 16S ribosomal RNA". It matches the Rfam family "Bacterial small subunit ribosomal RNA", at positions 524 to 776 of the family's 1533-position model. The record is from RNAcentral.